Molecule: ribosomal RNA, 406 nt
Filed under: uncultured bacterium
Lineage: Bacteria
Description: partial 16S ribosomal RNA
Rfam family: Bacterial small subunit ribosomal RNA
Source: RNAcentral
AUAUUGCGCAAUGGAGGGAACUCUGACGCAGCGACGCCGCGCAAGCGAUGAAGGUCUNNNGCUCGNAAAGCUCUGUCCCUGGGNAAGNAGGUCUUCGGACUUGACGGUACCUAAGGAGGAAGCCCCGGCUAACUACGUGCCAGCAGCCGCGGUAAUACGUAGGGGGCAAGCGUUGUCCGGAAUUAUUGGGCGUAAAGGGUGCGUAGGCGGCCUUUUAAGUCAGAUGUGAAGGCCAACGGCUUAACCGUGGGACUGCAUUUGAAACUGGAGGGCUUGAGUAUCGGAGAGGGUAGUGGAAUUCCCAGUGUAGCGGUGGAAUGCGUAGAUAUUGGGAGGAACGCCAGUGGCGAAGGCGACUACCUGGACGAAAACUGACGCUGAGGCACGAAAGCUAGGGGAGCAAACA